CAUUGAAUACACCAGUUCCUCAUAGAUCACUGAAGUUAAGCAACUGUACACGUGGUCAGUACCCAGAUGGGAGACCAUAUGGCAAUCGCGUCCUGCUCGCU
This 101-nucleotide ribosomal RNA is filed under the name Diaphorina citri (Asian citrus psyllid). The record is from RNAcentral. Lineage: Eukaryota; Metazoa; Arthropoda; Insecta; Hemiptera; Psyllidae.